GGCCUGCGCUCUGGGUGGGGCAGUGCCCUCGCUACGUCCAUUCUCACACCUCACCCUCACGUGCAGCUCACCUCCCUCGCCCUGAUAAUGGGGGCCUCUCGGAACAUGGAGAAACCCGGAAGUGUCACCGGAAGACCACACAGAUGGGCGCAGUACCAUUGGUAAUGUUCUUACGUUGAAGGAAGUGAAGUUAUUCAAUAAAUAUAUCAAGCUCAUGUGAUCUCAGAUGCUAGAAGGACUCAGAGGAAGAAAAAUAAUUAUGGGAAAAAGAGCAAUACAAUUGUAGUCCUGCUCAGACUGAUACGCUAAUAGGAAGCAAAUGUGCAGAUGGAAAGGAAAAUCUUUGUUAUCAAAUCCAUGCUACUUCAAUCUGAAGUACAGUCAUUGAACGGGUUUGACCAAGAGCAUUCCUUACACAUGGACUACAGCGUGAAUCUGCUGAGGGUCAACCAGAGAGUAAAGCCCAACUUCAGAUGAAGUGUGUUGGGUCACCAGUGCACAUAUUCUCGGAAGCUUAACAUUCUGCAUAAUGAAUGUUUUCUUAAACUUAUGUACUUGCCUGCAGCAAACUCUGACUCCAGCUUUUUGCAUGAAAAAUCCAUUUCACAAUCAAUUUGAGUGGCAAAAUUAUUUUUCUGUUUUGUUUUUGGAACGUCUGCCAAGGAGACCCGCUAUCCAUUGGUUCACGAUUACAUAAUUGUUUGUGAAAUCACAUAAAAUUCAGGUUCUUAUGGACGUGCUGCAGUAUGGAUUUUAAUGUUAAAAGUGUCUAGAUUUCAGCUUCUUUUCUUCAGUGUGGAUAUUCACGCAGACUUCAGAUGGAAGAACACCCUAAAUUCAACAGUGAAAGAACAAAGAAUCCAAUCCGGAAAUGGGCAAAAGACACAGACAGAAAUUCACCAAAAAAUACAGAUAGAAAAGAAACGCAAAAAGAUAUUCAACAGUAUUAGUCAUCAGGGAAACGUGAGCUAAGCCGCAGCAAACUCCUGGUACACCUAUCAGGACGACUAAGAGGAGAACACUGACGACGCCGAACACUGCAGGACACGCUGGCCCACGGAGAGGGCGAGGACAGGAGGUGCGGGGCUGCCUGUGAGAUGAAUCUCUAAGGCUCUCAGCUGACCGCGGUUACUCAUUACACGACCUGGGAACGGACUAAAAACCGUUUUUGUACCUCAAGCGGGUGAACCGUACGUCGUGUGAAUCAUAU
This is a long non-coding RNA of Chinchilla lanigera (long-tailed chinchilla), 1210 nucleotides long. RefSeq lists it as uncharacterized. NCBI's taxonomy places the organism in Eukaryota, Metazoa, Chordata, Mammalia, Rodentia, Chinchillidae. The record is from RefSeq and is a predicted model, not a curated record. The transcript is spliced from 5 exons.